RNAcentral lists this ribosomal RNA (481 nucleotides) under uncultured bacterium. RNAcentral's name for it is "partial 16S ribosomal RNA". It matches the Rfam family "Bacterial small subunit ribosomal RNA", at positions 28 to 507 of the family's 1533-position model. The record is from RNAcentral.
GACGAACGUUGGCGGCGUGCUUAAUACAUGCAAGUCAACUGAAGCAGUGGUAGCAAUAUCGCUGUGGAGGUGGCGCACGGGUGAGUAACACGUAGGUAAUCUGCCUUCAGGUCUGGCAUAACUCCGGGAAACCGGGGCUAAUAGCAGAUGAUGCAGCGGCUCGACAUCGAGACAGUUGUUAAAGCUAUGGCGCCUGAAGAUGAGCCUGCGUCUGAUUAGCUAGUUGGCGGGGUAACGGCCCACCAAGGCAACGAUCAGUAGCUGGUCUGAGAGGAUGAUCAGCCACACUGGAACUGAGACACGGUCCAGACUCCUACGGGAGGCAGCAGUAAGGAAUAUUGCUCAAUGGGAGAAAUCCUGAAGCAGCAACGCCGCGUGAGGGACGAAGGGCUUUUGCUUGUAAACCUCUGUAGUGAGAGAAAAAAAUCCCAAUCUUUGGGACAUGAUGGUAUCUCAAAAGUAAGCCCCGGCUAACUACGUG